Molecule: unclassified non-coding RNA, 253 nt
Filed under: uncultured Gammaproteobacteria bacterium
Lineage: Bacteria; Pseudomonadati; Pseudomonadota; Gammaproteobacteria
Description: contains 16S-23S intergenic spacer region
Rfam family: Bacterial small subunit ribosomal RNA
Source: RNAcentral
UACGGAGGGUGCAAGCGUUAAUCGGAAUUACUGGGCGUAAAGCGCGCGUAGGCGGUUAUGUAAGUCGGGUGUGUAAGCCCCGGGCUCAACCUGGGAAUUGCAUUCGAUACUGCAUAGCUAGAGUCUGGGAGAGGGAAGGGGAAUUCCGGGUGUAGCGGUGAAAUGCGUAGAUAUCCGGAGGAACACCAGUGGCGAAGGCGCCUUCCUGGCCUGAUACUGACACUGAGGUGCGAAAGCGUGGGGAGCAAACAGG